AGAGUGAACGCUGGCGGCAGGCCUAACACAUGCAAGUCGAGCGGCAGCGCGGGGGCAACCCUGGCGGCGAGCGGCGGACGGGUGAGGAAUACAUCGGAAUCUGCCUUGUUGUGGGGGAUAACGUAGGGAAACUUACGCUAAUACCGCAUAAGACCUGAGGGUGAAAGCGGGGGACCGCAAGGCCUCGCGCGACAAGAUGAGCCGAUGUCCGAUUAGCUAGUUGGUGAGGUAAAGGCUCACCAAGGCGACGAUCGGUAGCUGGUCUGAGAGGAUGAUCAGCCACACUGGAACUGAGACACGGUCCAGACUCCUACGGGAGGCAGCAGUGGGAAUAUUGGACAAGUGGGGGCAACCUGAUCCAGCCAUGCCGCGUGUGUGAAGAGG
Molecule: ribosomal RNA, 384 nt
Filed under: uncultured soil bacterium
Lineage: Bacteria
Description: bacterial SSU rRNA
Rfam family: Bacterial small subunit ribosomal RNA
Source: RNAcentral